Molecule: ribosomal RNA, 1908 nt
Filed under: Triticum aestivum (bread wheat)
Lineage: Eukaryota; Viridiplantae; Streptophyta; Magnoliopsida; Poales; Poaceae
Description: partial small subunit ribosomal RNA
Source: RNAcentral
AUGACUUGGCUUCAUGAAGGCCCAAUUAACUGUUUAGAUUUUCACCCCCACGAGUUCUUACUGGCCACAGGUUCAGCUGAUAAAACUGUUAAAUUUUGGGACCUUGAGACUUUUGAGUUGAUUGGAUCUUCUGGACCGGAGAAUUGUCGGGAAUACUAUAUGCCGGCUAGUGUAGUUCGUUCUAUGACAUUCAACAGUGAUGUCAAAGCACUUUUUUGUGGAUUACAUGAAAGCUUGAAGGUUCUUUCAUGGGAACCUAUCAUAUGUCAUGAUGCAGUUGAUGUUGGCUGGUCAACAUUAGCAGAUCUAAAUGUACAAGAGGGAAAACUUCUUGGUUGCUCAUAUAACCAAAGUUGUGUGGGAAUAUGGGUUGUGGACUUGAUGAAAUUUGAUCCAUACACUGUCGGUAGUGCGGAAGCAUUUUGGAAUGGAACUGGUAAUGGGCCAUUACAAGCUGAUAAUAGCAUAUCAUCAAUGCUGGGAAGUUUAUCGAUUUCCAGAAGACCAGAAGCCAAUGAAACAUCCAGUACAUUGCUUAAGCGCCCGAUGUCUGCGUCGAAAGAAGCUUCUGUACCAGCUUCUUCUGCAGUGAGGAAGAGAUUAUCAAAAGCACCUGGAAUAAAUAAUCUUCGGCUGACAAGAGCUGAAUCUGCACCUCUUCUUUCUCCUCGGGUUAGAUUGAAGCCAAAUUCUACUGACCACCAGAAGAGACACAUAGCUAAUGUUCGCUUCAAAGUGGAUCUCUCUACAAGUGCCAGAAUGAUCCCUGGUAACUCACAUGCUUCUGCUGCUCCCACAUAUAUACCUAGGUCCAAUAUAUUUGCAUGUAGUAGUGAAGGAUCCACUUUCGUGCCUGGUAUUGUCCCAAGGCAUGUUUCUAAAGUGGAUGCUGGUUCCAAUCUCAGUGAAGCCGCCGCCGCCGCCAUAAAGCCUGAACAAUUACUAAAAGGUCAUCUGGCUGUGGAUCAUGACAAAGAUGUUCAUCGUUCCGUAUUUCAGUCAAAGCCAAUUACUUCAAAAACUCCACAAAGGAAAUUUAUAAGAGAAACAUCAAGUGAUGGGGACAUUAACUGUUUUGGGCCAUUGUGCACUGAAAGUGUUCAGUCUAACAAAGUUGAUAACUGGUAUGAUGUUUGUGGUUUCAAAGAAACAAAAUCAGCAGUUGGAAGGAAUCCACAAUUUGUGAAUGUUAACAGAACAGUAGUGUUUGGAUCGAGCCAACUGGUGGAAUCAAGUGAGAGCAGCAUAAUGCAAAAUCGAGGAACGGGACAUUUAUUUGCGAGUUACGAGAGAAGCGAGUACGCACCAACAUCAGAUGGCUUGAGACAAUCUUCAUUUGCUGGAGAACGCAGUGCAUCGGCUAAUGAUGACGAUCUUAUAGCUGACCUAAUGCAAAACCAUCAAGAAUUCAUUCAUGGCGUGAAGUCGCGGCUGACAAAACUAGAGCUUGUGUACCGCUGUUGGCAAAAUAAUGAUAUCAAGGGCUCUGUCAGUGCUAUGCGAAGAAUGUCGGAUCAUGCUGUUACUGCUGAUAUAAUUAAUGUUCUUAUUAUGGAAAAGAGUACCAAGUAUAUUACACUAGACAUUUGCACUUCUGUUUUACCUCUCGCCUCCAAUCUUCUUGAAAGCGGAUAUGACAGACAUUUGAACGUUGCCUUGGCGACGAUCCUUAAGCUUGUCAAAAGCUUCCGUGCAUCAAUCUUUUCUAUUUUGUCGUCUGCUCCACCAGUCGGUGUAGACCUCGAAGCAGAGCACUGGUUGGAACGCUGCAGUUCAUGCUUUCAAGAGCUGGAUAAGAUAAAUGCAAGUCUCAUCUCCUUGACAAGGCGAGAAGGCAAGGUUGGGAGAUCAGCACGGGAGCUGAGCCUCCUCCUUCAUGAUAUCUUCAAGACGCCAAGCACGAUGUAG